RNAcentral lists this long non-coding RNA (1378 nucleotides) under Homo sapiens (human). RNAcentral describes it as "HSALNT0352207". The record is from RNAcentral. Lineage: Eukaryota; Metazoa; Chordata; Mammalia; Primates; Hominidae.
UCAACCAUUAUCUAUGCCUGGUGUUAUGACAAAAAGUGAUUGAUUUUGGCAUCAAAAUUAAAGUGUUCGUCUGGUUCAACUUGUUCUUUGUACACCGUCCUUCAUUAUGACAAGCACAUAUAGCAAAAAUACUGUCUUCAAUAUGAACUGUUGAUUAUUGAUUAAACAGAUCACAUUUGGAUGGGCUGCAGUUUCUGCAUGUCUAACGGAUGGGAUCCUUCUGAGAAUGCUAGAGUAGGGAAUCAUGACACCGAGCCACUUCAGUCAUAGACCUUAUUCUUGCACUUUUUUUUCUUGCUGGCAAUUUUACAUAGCAGGUUGAGAAAGCUACUCUAUGCUAGUAUAGACUAUACACCAAUAAUUUUGAUAAUGAGUUCCAGGAUGUAUUUUUCUUCUUAUAUAUUUUCCUUCCUACCAUGAUACUAGUAAUUUAUAAGGGGUCUGUGUAGUUUGAAUGUAUUUGAAUAACUUUAGCUCUACUGUUUGAUUUGACCCAAAGAAGCGAAGAGGACGUAAAUAUUCCCAUUUAGAAGCCCAAAGUCAGUGAGAUGAAACCCAACAUCAAGAAAUUGAAGCAAAGUUACUUGUGGAUAAACAAAGCAUUAGUCUUUUGGAAAAAGACAACAGAAAUUGUACUUUGUUGAGAAGACUCCUAGAGCCAAAUAGUCACAGACUCAGAAUACACAGAGACAAGCAAAGAUGGUUCCAGCAAGCUCUAAGGACACAGACAUGUGAAAGAGGUGCUGAAGACACACGAGGACUGAUGCAUGGUAGAUGUCAUCCUGAUAUGGCUGGGCUUCUGGACUCACUGCCUCCUCCUUCUAGAACCCAGCACCUCCAAGGCUGGGAGAAGAGAAGUUUGGGGUCUAUGGGAAAUGACCUCUGGAAGUGGCUGUGACUGUUUCCAAAGACAAAUACAAUCUAGAUUCUCGAAACAAUGCAAAUGAAUAAAAAAUGUAAGUUUAGCAGUUAGUGAAACAUUAAGAUGAGAUACAGGAGUAAACACAUUUUUUUCCAUAAAAGUAGUGAAUGUUAAAUAAUGAAAUACAGUGGUAAAACAAUUACAGCCUGGAGGCUUUAAGAUGUAAAUCAAAAAUGGAGACCAGUGGUGUUAAUAUCAUAUGAGAGGAUUAAAUAUGAGCUGCUGGUCCAACUGUGUUCUGCAGGAAUUCAGGUAGAUGGAUGAGAGACAGGCUAUGAGUAAAGCAUUACCACAGCUGGGGGUGCAGUGUAUGGAAGCUCAUCCUAGCUAACACUUGGAGAAGAACUCACACAUUGCAAACAUAUCCGGUUAAAAACUGGCAUUUGCUGCAACUAAAAAAGGCAAGUGAUGGUCUAGGUGAACUGCCUUUUCUUUCUCUCCUUCCAAAGGACAAAA